This 441-nucleotide ribosomal RNA is filed under the name uncultured bacterium. RNAcentral describes it as "bacterial SSU rRNA". It matches the Rfam family "Bacterial small subunit ribosomal RNA", at positions 338 to 795 of the family's 1533-position model. The record is from RNAcentral.
CCUANGGGUGGCUUCAGUCGAGAAUAUUCCUCAAUGGCCGAAAGGCUGAAGGAGCGACGCCGCGUGCAGGAAGACGGCCUUCGGGUUGUAAACUGCUUUUAUGGGGGACGAACACUGACGGUACCCCAAGAAUAAGAGGUUGCUAACUCUGUGCCAGCAGCAGCGGUAAUACAGAGACCUCAAGCGUUAUCCGGAUUAACUGGGCGUAAAGCGUCCGCAGACGGUCGGGAACGUUCCGCGUCAAAUGCCGAAGCUCAACUUCGGCACUGCGUGGAAUACGGCUCGGCUCGAGGUUGGGAGAGGUGAGCGGAAUUGCCGGUGUAGUAGUAAAAUGCGUUAAUAUCGGCAAGAACACCAAAUGCGAAGGCAGCUCACUAGAACACACCUGACGUUCAUGGACGAAAGCGUGGGGAGCGAAAGGGAUUAGAUACCCGANUANUC